UCAAAGCAAGAAACAGUGCAGUCGCACAACACUGCAUAUAUACAUAAUUACCACUACCUAUGCUGUUUGGUUUUCAUACGUUGUUGUUGUUGUUUUCCACUUUACUCGCUUUCCCACUGCCCGCAAAUUAUGUGUCUCUAUUCACUUCCACGAUACAAGAGAUGUAAAAGGAGAAACAAGUUACGAGCUCCAAACUCUGCACUCUGAAGAUCGAGAUCAAGGGUUCAAGAAAUUGGGUCUCACGCGUCGAUGGAUGGAGGUGCUAUAAACCAACCACAACACAAAUCAAGGUAUUGGCGUGCCUCAAUUUGAAUACAUGGCUUCUGAGAAAAACAAGCCAUGUACUUUGAUUGAGCCGCGUCAAUAUCUUAUUUUGCACUUCUUUCCAUCUCUUACACAUAUGCAUCUCGCUAUCUCAAACCCAGAAACUGUUUCUCUGGGUGUAAUAGGAUUGAUAUGCAUAUACAUAUCUAGAAUCCCUAGUUUGGCUGUUUGAUUUUAA
Vigna angularis (adzuki bean) is the source of this 502-nucleotide long non-coding RNA. RefSeq lists it as uncharacterized. Lineage: Eukaryota; Viridiplantae; Streptophyta; Magnoliopsida; Fabales; Fabaceae. The transcript is spliced from 2 exons. The record is from RefSeq and is a predicted model, not a curated record.